AACUCGGCCAUUUAGAGGAAGUACAAGUCGUAACAAGGUUUCCGUAGGUGAACCUGCGGAAGGAUCAUAGUAAUCGUCUUUGACGUUCUAUCUCCAUCGUCCUCGGGACGUUAAGGCGCUCUGGUCGAGGAUAAACGACCCCUCUGACCGAGGUUAAACGGUCGCUUGCCUGUGUUACCUCUUUGGAGGCACACGUUAAAGAUCGUUCCGCGUUGUGAGUCUAACACCAGUUGUAAACUUUCUACAACCGGCAGCGCUGGAUCCCUUGGCACGUCAUUCGAUGCAGACCGUUGCAAAUUGCGAUAAAGUGAUGUGAUGCGCAAGUCCACCACUUAUACGUGAAUCGUCGAGUUGUUGAACGCAUUGCACCGCGCCCUAAUCCGGCUGCGGUAUGCCCCUUUGAGCGUCAUUGUAUUCCUUCGGGAGUCCUUUUACAAGGACCCGAGUUCGGAGUCCUCGGUCCCCUGUGGAUCGUGUUCUCUCAGAUCCCUCGCACCGAUCGCCUGAUGGGUCCUCUAAUGCCUAAGCGUGGAGUUCCUUCAGAGUCCGACAUGUGCUUGACCGAGUCUUGAGCUCGUGUCACCAAGUCCGCCUACCAGCGGUACUACAACGCAUGACCUCAUUGGGGUAGGACAACCCGCUAGACUUAAGCAUAUUAAUCAGCGGAGGAAAAGAAACUAACCAGGAUUCCCUCAGUAACUGCGAGUGAAGCGGGAUCGGCUCAAUGUGUGAAUCUGGCGG
This 741-nucleotide ribosomal RNA is filed under the name uncultured Tulasnellaceae. RNAcentral's name for it is "eukaryotic LSU rRNA". The stretch from base 615 to 741 matches the Rfam family "Eukaryotic large subunit ribosomal RNA", at positions 1 to 128 of the family's 3401-position model. Lineage: Eukaryota; Fungi; Basidiomycota; Agaricomycetes; Cantharellales; Tulasnellaceae. The record is from RNAcentral.